GCCUGGCCAACAUGGUGAAACACUGUCUCUACUAAGAAUACAAAAAUUGGUCAGGCGUGGUGGCACAUGCCUGUAAUCCCAGCUACUCAGGAGGCUGAGGCUGGAGAAUCGCCGAAACCCAGGAGGUAGAGGCUGCAGAGGGCCGAGAUCGCGCCACUGCCCUCCAGCCUGGGUGACAGAGCAAGGCAAGACUCUGUCUCAAAAAACCAAAAAAACAAAAAAAGGAAUGUUUUAUAAUGGAAUGAUAUAGUA
RNAcentral lists this long non-coding RNA (252 nucleotides) under Homo sapiens (human). Its description in RNAcentral is "non-protein coding lnc-DDHD2-2:1". Lineage: Eukaryota; Metazoa; Chordata; Mammalia; Primates; Hominidae. The record is from RNAcentral.